CCUACGGGUGGCAGCAGUGGGGAAUUUUGCGCAAUGCUCGUAAGAGUGACGCAGCGACGCCGCGUGAGUGAAGAAGUAUUUCGGUAUGUAAAGCUCUAUCAGCAGGGAAGAAAAUGACGGUACCUGACUAAGAAGCCCCGGCUAACUACGUGCCAGCAGCCGCGGUAAUACGUAGGGGGCAAGCGUUAUCCGGAUUUACUGGGUGUAAAGGGAGCGUAGACGGUGCAGCAAGUCUGAUGUGAAAGGUCGGGGCCCAACCCCGGGACUGCAUUGGAAACUGUUGAACUGGAGUACAGGAGAGGUAAGCGGAAUUCCUAGUGUAGCGGUGAAAUGCGUAGAUAUUAGGAGGAACACCAGUGGCGAAGGCGGCUUACUGGACUGUAACUGACGUUGAGGCUCGAAAGCGUGGGGAGCAAACAGGAUUAGAUACCCGAGUAGUC
RNAcentral lists this ribosomal RNA (440 nucleotides) under uncultured bacterium. RNAcentral's name for it is "partial 16S ribosomal RNA". It matches the Rfam family "Bacterial small subunit ribosomal RNA", at positions 338 to 795 of the family's 1533-position model. The record is from RNAcentral.